RNAcentral lists this ribosomal RNA (253 nucleotides) under uncultured bacterium. Its description in RNAcentral is "partial 16S ribosomal RNA". It matches the Rfam family "Bacterial small subunit ribosomal RNA", at positions 524 to 776 of the family's 1533-position model. The record is from RNAcentral.
UACGUAGGGUGCGAGCGUUAAUCGGAAUUAUUGGGCGUAAAGAGCUCGUAGGCGGUUUGUCGCGUCGGCUGUGAAAACCUGGGGCUCAACCCCGGGCCUGCAGCCGAUACGGGCAAACUAGAAUUCGGUAGGGGAGACUGGAAUUCCUGGUGUAGCGGUGAAAUGCGCAGAUAUCAGGAGGAACACCGGUGGCGAAGGCGGGUCUCUGGGCCGAUAUUGACGCUGAGGAGCGAAAGCGUGGGGAGCGAACAGG